CUUUUACUUUAAACGCCUUGAUAGACGCAGCAGCGUUAAAUCCUUGAGUCACUCUAAAAUUAGCCCCGUCUGGCACGGAAAAAGUACAAAAUGUACAACUUCGCAAUCACACCUUCCACCGAAAUGGCCGACAUGCCGCGUGUAUUGUCACUGAAGGCAUCAAAACUAUGACACCUGUGAAGUGAAAACAAUUUCAGGUGACUAACUCUUGAUGUCAAAACGUGGACUUUGGAGUUUGUUUUCCCAUGGUGCAAAGGAAAGUUGGCGCAGGCAAGGCGUGAAUGAGUCGUUUGGUCUGAAGCUACAACCACCACCCUUGUUUGCUAUUUACUGGAUGUACGAAUCUCAUAAGCUGCUCCUGUCACACAGCACUACACUCCAAGGAGAAGUAAUAACAUUUUCCGAUAUAAAUGACU
Molecule: long non-coding RNA, 416 nt
Organism: Nerophis lumbriciformis (worm pipefish)
Lineage: Eukaryota; Metazoa; Chordata; Actinopteri; Syngnathiformes; Syngnathidae
Source: RefSeq, a predicted model, not a curated record